GCGGACGUGGUGGAACUGGUAGACACGCGAGAUUUAGGUUCUCGUGGCCAAAAGCCGUGGGGGUUCAAGUCCCUCCGUCCGCA
Molecule: transfer RNA, 83 nt
Filed under: Hyphomicrobium nitrativorans NL23
Lineage: Bacteria; Pseudomonadati; Pseudomonadota; Alphaproteobacteria; Hyphomicrobiales; Hyphomicrobiaceae
Description: Hyphomicrobium sp. NL23 tRNA
Rfam family: tRNA
About the family: Transfer RNA (tRNA) molecules are approximately 80 nucleotides in length. Their secondary structure includes four short double-helical elements and three loops (D, anti-codon, and T loops). Further hydrogen bonds mediate the characteristic L-shaped molecular structure. tRNAs have two regions of fundamental functional importance: the anti-codon, which is responsible for specific mRNA codon recognition, and the 3' end, to which the tRNAs corresponding amino acid is attached (by aminoacyl-tRNA synthetases). tRNAs cope with the degeneracy of the genetic code in two manners: having more than one tRNA (with a specific anti-codon) for a particular amino acid; and 'wobble' base-pairing, i.e. permitting non-standard base-pairing at the 3rd anti-codon position.
Source: Rfam by way of RNAcentral